This 412-nucleotide ribosomal RNA is filed under the name uncultured bacterium. RNAcentral describes it as "bacterial SSU rRNA". It matches the Rfam family "Bacterial small subunit ribosomal RNA", at positions 979 to 1392 of the family's 1533-position model. The record is from RNAcentral.
UCUUGAAUCCCUCUGACCGGACUUUAAUCGUACCUUCUCUUCGGAGCAGAGGUGACAGGUGGUGCAUGGUUGUCGUCAGCUCGUGUCGUGAGAUGUUGGGUUAAGUCCCGCAACGAGCGCAACCCCUAUCUUUAGUAGCCAGCAUUUAGGGUGGGCACUCUGGGGAGACUGCCAGGGAUAACCUGGAGGAAGGCGGGGAUGACGUCAAAUCAUCAUGCCCCUUAUGAUUUGGGCUACACACGUGCUACAAUGGCGUAAACAAAGGGAAGCGAGAUCGUGAGAUGGAGCAAAUCCCAAAAAUAACGUCCCAGUUCGGACUGUAGUCUGCAACCCGACUACACGAAGCUGGAAUCGCUAGUAAUCGCGAAUCAAAAUGCCGCGGUGAAUACGUUCCCGGGUCUUGUACACACCG